AUGAGAUUAAUAUGGUCUACUCUUGUCCUCCUGCUGAUCGUCCUUGUGAGCGCCGACGAUGAGGCCGCUUUGCUUGCUUUCAAAGCACAGCUCGGCCAUGGCGGCUCACUGGCCUCCUGGAACACCAGCGGUGGCUUCUGCCGCUGGGAAGGUGUGGCGUGCAACCACCGAAGGCCAGCAAGGGUGGUGGCGCUGAUACUGAACAAGAGAGGGCUCACUGGAGCACUCUCCCCGGCCAUCGGGAACCUCACCUUCCUACGAACACUCAAUCUGAGGGACAACUCACUCCACGGGAGGAUCCCAACGAGCCUCGGCCGCCUCCGCCACCUAAAGAGGCUCAUCUUGGAUGAUAACUCCUUCUCCGGCACUUUCCCGCCAAACCUGAGUUCCUGCGCCAGCAUCACCGAAAUGAGACUGAGCAGCAACAAGCUUAGUGGGCUCAUCCCGGCUGAGCUCGGCUAUAAGCUGACUUUCCUGUCUGUGAUGUCACUAAGAAAAAACAAGUUCACAGGGCCCAUCCCGGCGUCCCUGGCCAACCUGUCCUAUCUACAAACCCUUGAUCUCUCCUUUAACCAGCUCACUGGCUCGAUCCCAUCGGGGCUUGGAAGCAUCCAUAGCAUACAACAUUUCGAUUUCCAUGAAAACCUCCUCACCGGUAUGUUUCCACCUUCUCUCUACAACUUAUCAAUGCUAAAAGUAUUUGAUGUCGGGUUUAAUAUGUUGUAUGGAAGCAUUCCAAAUGAUAUCGGAAGCAAGUUCCCCAAGUUGACAGGCCUUCACUUACCUAGUAAUCACUUCACGGGAGCCAUCCCUCCCUCAAUAUCCAACAUAUCUUCCCUCGUCUAUCUUGAUCUCGUGACAAAUAGCUUUUCUCAGUACGUGCCUCCCACAUUGGGGAUGCUGGGAGCUCUCGAGUUUCUGAACUUGGCUGACAAUAGGCUGGAAGCGAAUGACACCAUGGGGUGGGAAUUCAUCACCUCUUUGGCAAACUGUAGCCGACUAGAGAUAUUGGAACUUAGUGUCAAUCCUUUUGGAGGGCAACUACCAGGUUCAAUUGUCAACCUCUCAACAACUCUCCAUGCCUUAGACCUAAUUGAAAAUAUGAUCACUGGGGUUUUUCCUACGGACAUAGGAAAUCUAGUUGGUCUGACAAGGCUUGUGAUAGUAGAUACUUUCAUAUCCGGAGUGAUUCCAGAAAGUAUUGGUAAGCUAGAGAACUUGAUCGAUCUAGGCUUGUACAAUAAUAGAUUGUCUGGCCUCAUACCUUCGUCUAUGGGGAACCUCUCACAGUUGAACAGGCUUCUUGCAGACAAUGGCAACUUGGAGGGGCCAAUUCCGGCAAGCCUGGGGGAGUUGAAAAACCUUUUUGAACUUGACCUAUCAAAGAAUUACCAUCUUAAUGGUUCAAUACCAAGAGAAAUUUUCAAAUUAUCCGCCCUUUCUUCCCUUUUGGAUUUAUCGUACAAUUCCCUUUCCGGACCACUUCCUAAUGAAGUUGGCAGUUUAAAAAAUCUUAACCACCUCAUUCUAUCAGGAAACCAAUUGUCUGGCAAGAUACCCAAUAGUAUUCAAAAUUGCUUAGUGUUGGAAUUGCUAUCAUUAGACAACAAUUUGUUCCAAGGAAGCAUACCUUUGUCACUGAAAAAUAUGAAGGGGCUUAGUGUAUUGAACCUGACCAUGAAUAUCCUCUCGGGUAAUAUUCCUGAUGCCCUUGGAAAUAUUGGAAACCUGCAGGAGUUGUACCUAGCACACAACAACUUCUCCGGGUCAAUCCCAUUGGUUCUAGAGAAUUUGACAUCAUUGUCAAAACUGGAUGUAUCUUUCAAUAAUUUGCAAGGUGAGGUACCAAACGAAGGUGUUUUUAGAAACAUCACUUACUUAGCGGUUGCUGGGAACAUCAAUUUGUGUGGUGGUACACCUCAACUUCACUUGCCUCCAUGCUCAACAAGACCCUCAAGCAUGAAAAAAAGAAAGAUGCGAAAGUCUCUUGUAAUUUCUCUAGCGGCAGCUGGAGCAAUCUUGUUGUCACUUUCAGUUAUUCUCCUUGUUUGGAUACUUUGCAAGAAGCUCAAACAAAGCGAGAAGACAGUAGCACACAAUUCAGUUGUUGAUGACCAUUACAAGAGAAUCCCCUAUCAUGCAUUAUGGAGAGGAACCAAUGAAUUUUCAGAACUCAACCUACUCGGGAGAGGAAGUUAUGGUGUGGUUUAUAAGUGUGUUUUGGACAAUGAACACAGAACAUUGGCUGUCAAGGUGUUUAAUCUUGGUCAAUCCACGUAUUCAAAGAGUUUUGAGGCGGAAUGUGAGGCCAUGAGAAGGAUACGACACCGUUGUCUCAUUAAGGCCAUUACUUCUUGUUCGAGCGUCAACCACCAAGGUCAAGAGUUCAAGGCAUUGGUUUUUGAGUUCAUGCCCAAUGGUAACUUGGAUAUUUGGCUUCAUCCAAGAUGCCAAGAGCCCAUUUUAGACAACACACUCAGCCUUGCCCAGAGGCUUGAUAUUGUUGUUGAUAUUGUGGACGCAGUGGAAUAUCUGCACAACUACUGUCAGCCACCGGUGAUCCACUGCGAUCUUAAGCCAAGCAACAUUCUUCUUGCUGAAGACAUGAGUGCACGAGUUGGAGACUUUGGCAUAUCAAGGAUCCUUCAAGAAAAUACAAGUGCGGAGAUGCAAACUUCAUAUGGGUCAACUGGAAUUAGAGGUUCCAUAGGCUAUGUUGCUCCAGAGUACGGAGAAGGCUAUGCGGUCUCUACAGCUGGUGAUAUUUAUAGCCUUGGCAUAUUGAUGCUUGAGAUGUUUACUGGAAGGAGUCCAACAGAAGACAUAUUCAAAGAUUUAUUGGAUCUGCAUAGGUUUGUCGAGGAUGCUCUUCCAGAUAGAACACCGGAGAUAGCAGACCCAACAAUGUGGCUGCACAAUGGACAACAUGAUAACAAUGCAAGUAUUAGAAUCCAGGAGUUGUUGGUUUCAGUCUUGAGGCUUGGCAUAACCUGCUCAAAGCAGCAUCCUCGAGACCGAGCACUGACAAGAGAUGCAGCAGCAGAGAUGCACACAAUAAGAGAUGUGUACCUCAAGUUCAUAGCGGAGCAUGGAGAAGAACGAGAAUCCUCGACGAGAGAAAUCCAGAACAACUUUGAAUAA
RNAcentral lists this ribosomal RNA (3141 nucleotides) under Triticum aestivum (bread wheat). Its description in RNAcentral is "partial small subunit ribosomal RNA". Lineage: Eukaryota; Viridiplantae; Streptophyta; Magnoliopsida; Poales; Poaceae. The record is from RNAcentral.